AACGAACGCUGGCGGCAGGCCUAACACAUGCAAGUCGAACGAACCGUUUACGGUGAGUGGCGCACGGGUGAGUAACACGUGGGAAUAUACAUUUCGGUAAGGAAUAACGUAGAGAAAUUUACGCUAAUACCUUAUAAUGACUACGGUCCAAAGAUUUAUCGCCGAAGGAUUAGCCCGCGUUAGAUUGGGUAGUUGGUAGGGUAAUGGCCUACCAAGCCUACGAUCUAUAGCUGGUCUUAGAGGAUGAUCAGCCACACUGGAACUGAGACACGGUCCAGACUCCUACGGGAGGCAGCAGUGAGGAAUAUUGCGCAAUGGGGGAAACCCUGACGCAGCCAUGCCGCGUGAGUGACGAAGGCCUUAGGGUUGUAAAGCUCUUUCAGAUGUAAAGAUAAUGACGGUAACAUCAGAAGAAGCUCCGGCUAAGUUCGUGCCAGCAGCCGCGGUAA
This 449-nucleotide ribosomal RNA is filed under the name uncultured bacterium. Its description in RNAcentral is "partial 16S ribosomal RNA". It matches the Rfam family "Bacterial small subunit ribosomal RNA", at positions 29 to 523 of the family's 1533-position model. The record is from RNAcentral.